AGUUUGAACUGUCCAUAAGCCCAGUGUCACGUUAUUGAUUUGAACUGGGACCACAUAGAACAUGGUUGCAACCAAAGUCAUGUAGUGGCACCAAAUCUUGUAUAAAGGGGGUCAAAUGAGGUGU
Long non-coding RNA from Gopherus evgoodei (Goodes thornscrub tortoise), 124 nucleotides. RefSeq lists it as uncharacterized. Lineage: Eukaryota; Metazoa; Chordata; Testudines; Testudinidae. The transcript has 3 exons. The record is from RefSeq and is a predicted model, not a curated record.